Molecule: long non-coding RNA, 2989 nt
Filed under: Oryza sativa (Asian cultivated rice)
Lineage: Eukaryota; Viridiplantae; Streptophyta; Magnoliopsida; Poales; Poaceae
Description: long non-coding RNA (OSAT_LNC001486)
Source: RNAcentral
UCGGCCUAAAUUGUGAACAUUAAUUUGCACAUAUAUCCUUAGGUGAGAAAUUCACAAGUCUAAAAUUCAAAAGUCCAGACAAUUGUAAGUGUAAAUUCUAGACAUUUGCAUAUAAUUCACAUUCAUAUCCUCGAGUAAAGAGCAAAUGAGAUAUUGCUGAGACUCAGCGCACCAGUCAACUUCAGCCUGAGACGUGCCCGUCAAACCACACGAAGGCGAUGACCAGAUGUGUUACACAUCCCAGGAGACUUGACUAAAUCGCUUGAGCUCUACAACAUCUCAGAAAUUCACAAGUCAAAUUCGUAAGUCCAAAAAAUUGUAAGUGUAAAUUCUAGACAUUUGCUUGUAAGUGUAAAUUCUAGACAUUUGCAUAUAAUUCGCAUUCAUAAUGAAUAUUUACCUUUAGGCUUCAAUCUUUAACCAAACACAAAAAAAAAAAGAGCAAAACCUCCUCCCCUCCUCUAGCUGAUCGGGCAAGAACGAGAGGUGCCGCUCUCUUCUUGCUCAAUCAGCUCGAGUGGCAUGGGAUGGAGUAUAAGUACUAUUGUCGGAACAAAGGUGUCGGUUUAGACCCAAAACCGGCACCUUUGUCUUCCUAACCGGCAUCUUUGUGUUGGGCAUGAAAAGCACUAUUGGAACAAAUGUACCGGUUCUAGACCAAAAACCGGUACCUUUGUCUUCCCAACCGGCAUCUUUGUGUGGAGCAUAAAAAGCACUAUUGGAACAAAAGGUGCCGGUUCUAGACCAAAAACCGGCACCUUUGUCUUGUCAUAGCGUGUCACGCCCGGAAAUUCACUAGUAAUUUCCAAACUUAUUUGUGCAUAAAACUCUCGUCCAGGAAUCAGCCGAGGUACACAAACUGACAAUUUAAUAUACAAAUCCAUCAUAAUAAUAUCGUUACAUACUUAUAAAAGAAAUGAAAACAACAGCGGAAUUAACGGUCUAGCGAUGGCUUCAGCUCCACUCACACAGGCAGCUCAACUGGGGUAUAAGCCAAACGUCUUAUUCUUCUGGAUCAUUUUUCUUCAACUAAGGUUGAUUGAUUAUUGCAAGGUGAGCAUAUGACAUACUCCGCAAGCCGCACAGUAAAUAUGUGCACAAGGAUACCAAAGGAUGGCAUAAUAUAGGCUCAUUUGCAAAAGCAGCAUUUAGCAAAAAUAUUGAGAAUGUAAAACAAUAGAGUAAUUAAUCAAUUUUAAUCAACACUGAACAGCACACCCAUGCUGCUCAGGCCCAACCAUUCUGAACAACCAUAUCCAGUUGUACAGAUCUAACUCCAAACCAGGAGCUAAACAAAUUAUUACCAAUUAUAGCAUCAAUAAUUAUUGUGAGAGGUGUGAGACUAAUCACGAAAAACAUUGCUCAACCCGCCCAUGACCGCGGGCACGGCUAUUCGAAUAGUUUUACUCUGGCCAGAGGUGUACCAUUGUACCCACAAGAUACAGCCCCAAAACAUGUCACCAUGCUCUCAGUACCACCACGGUACCUCGAAACGGAAUUGUGACAGUACCCUUCGCACAACAACUCAUCACAGUGCACCAUUCCUGGAUCAUAAUCACCCCCUCAAUAACCAGAGGCAUGGACUCCCCAGCGACCCCCACGGACUUCUCGCCGCUUCUCAGUCUGGUGCCCCGCAAUGAAUCAUGCUAUACAAAAGGUAAAGCCGUUGCCCACGCUGGCUUGUGGUUGGCACGGUUAAUGUCUCAUAACAGUAGCUCGCGAACCGGUCCUUAAUUGUUAUGAGCACGACCUUCAAAACCAUGUGCUCACAACCGCCCUUUGCCAAGUUUUAAUUAUCAAUUAAUUAUCAUAACACGAUUAACCAUCAUGAGCUACCAUUAAAUAUAACCAUAAAUAAUAAUGUAGUAUGAUUCAUCCCAUUAAUGAGCUAAUGUUUCUAGGCAUGGCUAAGCAAUUAUAUAUAUAUAUAUAUAUAUAUAUAUAUAUAUAUAUAUAUAUAUAUAUAUAUAUAUAUAUAUAGCUUUUAGCUGAACCAAACCAAUAUAUAAGGUUCAAGCUAAUCAAUUUAUUACCCAAGGUAACAAGGAAUAGAGUAAUCAAUGCGAAUUGGCCAUUACAAAGGAAUAUGUUCACAGUUGAAAUAAAUACACAGUUGAAAUAAAUAGAGAAUUUAAAUAUAGGAUCAACAUGCUCAAAGGAACUGUGUUUAGGAUCUGUGUGACUUGCCUUGCAAUAAUCGGUCUUCAAUUAGUCUUCAGAACCACUUCCGACGCACUCGCGAACCUUUCGCAACGACGGAAACAACAAGCUAACACGCAAAAUGGGAAAAAAGACUAAUAAAAACCAAAUAAACAGUACAUAAAAGUAAACAAACAUGUAGAUCAUGAUUUUAGAUAAUUUUAGAUGAAUUCCAAUUAAACCUAUUAAAGAAAAUACUAUUCCAAAUUAAUUAAACCAUUUACAAAUGAUUUAUAACUGAGAGAAAAGAUUAAAACAACCUUUGAAAAAGAUUAGAUUAUAUUUGGUAGAUGACAUAUAGUAAAAAGAAAUAAUAUGCCAUUGAAAAGAGAGAACGGAUAGAAGUCUCACCGAACCAAAGUGAUCGGAGACGAAGGGAUGAUGACAACGUUCCAGCAGCAACACACGGAGAUGACAACGCUAGACCAACCACGGAUUAGAUUAUAUUGGAUUAAGACCCUAGGGAUAAACUACACCGGUGAACGACAUAAGAGCGGCGGUUGCCGGCGAACCACGACACAAUAAUGCAAACAGAGGGCACCGGGAGGUAGAGGAGGCGACGGCGAUUCUUACCAACCCUUACGUGAUGACGGACAGCGACGGAAGACGGCCGGCGACUCUGGACAACAGCGGCGACGACCAACGGUGAUGCUCCAACGGAAACAAAGGGCACAGGAAGGAAUAGGAGGACACAGCGAACUCACCUGUGGUGGCGGCAACGAGAAACAGCGACGGGAGAUGGCCGGCGACAAGCUCCAAAAGGCGACGAGGUACUGUCCACGGUGGCGAC